RNAcentral lists this ribosomal RNA (497 nucleotides) under uncultured bacterium. RNAcentral's name for it is "partial 16S ribosomal RNA". It matches the Rfam family "Bacterial small subunit ribosomal RNA", at positions 28 to 507 of the family's 1533-position model. The record is from RNAcentral.
GAUGAACGCUGGCGGCGUGCUUAACACAUGCAAGUCGAGCGAACAGACGAGGAGUUUGUUCCUUGCACGUUAGCGGCGGACGGGUGUGUAACAUGUGGAUAAUCCCCCUAUCAGACUGGGAUAACUUCGGGAAUCCGGCGCUAAUACCGGAUAAUAUAUUGAACCGCAUGGUUCAAUAGUGAAAUACGGUUUUGCUGUCACUUAUAGAUGGAUCCGCGCCGCAUUAGCUAGUUGGUAAGGUAACGGCUUACCAAGGCAACGAUGCGUAGCCGACGUGAGAGGGGGAUGGGCCACAGUGGAGCUGGAACACGGUCCAGGCUCCGACGGGAGGCAGCAGUAGGGAAUCUUCCGCAAUGGGGGGAAGCCUGACGGAGCAGCGCCGCGUGGGUGAUGAAGGUCUUCGGGUCGUAAGACUCUGUUAUUAGGGAAAAACAAAUGUGUAAGUAACUAUGCACGUCUUGACGGUACCUAAUCAGAAAGCCACGGCUAACUACGUG